AACGGAAAGGCCCUGCUUGCAGGGUACUCGAGUGGCGAACGGGUGAGUAACACGUGGGUGAUCUGCCCUGCACUUCGGGAUAAGCUUGGGAAACUGGGUCUAAUACCGGAUAGGAGCCAUCUUUAGUGUGGUGGUUGGAAAGUUUUUUCGGUGUAGGAUGUGCUCGCGGCCUAUCAGCUUGUUGGUGGGGUAAUGGCCUACCAAGGCGGCGACGGGUAGCCGGCCUGAGAGGGUGUACGGCCACAUUGGGACUGAGAUACGGCCCAGACUCCUACGGGGGGCAGCAGUGGGGAAUAUUGCACAAUGGGCGCAAGCCUGAUGCAGCGACGCCGCGUGGGGGAUGAAGGCCUUCGGGUUGUAAACUCCUUUCGCUAGGGACGAAGCUUUGUUGUGACGGUACCUAGAUAAGAAGCACCGGCUAACUACGUGCCAGCAGCCGCGGUAAUACGUAGGGUGCGAGCGUUGUCCGGAAUUACUGGGCGUAAAGGGCUCGUAGGUGGUUUGUCGCGUCGUCUGUGAAAUUCUGGGGCUUAACUCCGGGCGUGCAGGCGAUACGGGCAUAACUUGAGUGCUGUAGGGGUAACUGGAAUUCCUGGUGUAGCGGUGAAAUGCGCAGAUAUCAGGAGGAACACCGAUGGCG
This 640-nucleotide ribosomal RNA is filed under the name uncultured Actinomycetales bacterium. RNAcentral's name for it is "bacterial SSU rRNA". It matches the Rfam family "Bacterial small subunit ribosomal RNA", at positions 65 to 717 of the family's 1533-position model. The record is from RNAcentral. Lineage: Bacteria; Bacillati; Actinomycetota; Actinomycetes; Actinomycetales.